This 76-nucleotide transfer RNA is filed under the name Candidatus Gygaella obscura. RNAcentral's name for it is "tRNA-Pro". It matches the Rfam family "tRNA". From Rfam's summary of the family: Transfer RNA (tRNA) molecules are approximately 80 nucleotides in length. The record is from RNAcentral. Lineage: Bacteria; Pseudomonadati; Candidatus Omnitrophota.
CGGGGGGUGGCGCAGUUUGGCUUAGCGCGUUUGAAUGGGGUUCAAAAGGCCGCGGGUUCAAGUCCCGCUCCCCCGA